UUACCAUGGGAUAGAACUUAGCCAUGAACUUCCUAGAUAGUUGUUCCCAUGAUGUGAUGGAAUUUGAAGCAAGGGAAUACAGCCAUGCAGCAGCAUGAUCCUCUAAAGUCAUGGAAAACAACCUUAAUUUAAUACCCUCUUCAUCUAAGUUUUGAUUUCUAAAUAUUUGACAGAUUGUCAAAAAUUUGUUUAGAUGAAUAUACGGUUGUUCACUCUCAAAC
This 221-nucleotide long non-coding RNA is filed under the name Phoenix dactylifera (date palm). Its description in RNAcentral is "long non-coding RNA (PDAC_LNC010236)". Lineage: Eukaryota; Viridiplantae; Streptophyta; Magnoliopsida; Arecales; Arecaceae. The record is from RNAcentral.